AUGAAGCAUCGUCGGGGCCGCCGGAGCUUCGAUGGUGCUGCAACGAAGCAUCGCCAGUGCUGUGUUGGAGCAUUGCCGGCCCGCCGGAGCAUUGUCGGUGCUUCAAUGGAGCUUCGCCGAAGCUGCAAUGAAGCAUCGUCGGGGCCGCCAGAGCUUAGCGGGUGCUGCAACGAAGCAUCGUCGGUGCUGUAUUGGAGCAUUGCCGGCCGGCCAGAGCAUUGUCGGUGCUUCAAUGGAGCUUCGACGGUGGUUCAAGGGGUGGUCACAGCAAUGAUGUUGCUGCUGCCGUGGCCCGUGUAUGGUGAGCUCGUCGGCGUUUUUGGCAUGAGAUGA
This 333-nucleotide ribosomal RNA is filed under the name Triticum aestivum (bread wheat). RNAcentral's name for it is "partial small subunit ribosomal RNA". The record is from RNAcentral. Lineage: Eukaryota; Viridiplantae; Streptophyta; Magnoliopsida; Poales; Poaceae.